AGUGUACGCUGGCGGUAGGCCUAACACAUGCAAGUCGAACGGCAGCACAGUAAGAGCUUGCUCUUACGGGUGGCGAGUGGCGGACGGGUGAGGAAUACAUCGGAAUCUACUUUUUCGUGGGGGAUAACGUAGGGAAACUUACGCUAAUACCGCAUACGACCUACGGGUGAAAGCAGGGGAUCUUCGGACCUUGCGCGAUUGAAUGAGCCGAUGUCGGAUUAGCUAGUUGGCGGGGUAAAGGCCCACCAAGGCGACGAUCCGUAGCUGGUCUGAGAGGAUGAUCAGCCACACUGGAACUGAGACACGGUCCAGACUCCUGCGGGAGGCAGCAGUGGGGAAUAUUGGACAAUGGGCGCAAGCCUGAUCCAGCCAUACCGCGUGGGUGAAGAAGGCCUUCGGGUUGUAAAGCCCUUUUGUUGGGAAAGAAAAGCAGCAGGUUAAUACCCCGCUGUUCUGACGGUACCCAAAGAAUAAGCACCGGCUAACUUCGUG
Molecule: ribosomal RNA, 492 nt
Filed under: uncultured bacterium
Lineage: Bacteria
Description: partial 16S ribosomal RNA
Rfam family: Bacterial small subunit ribosomal RNA
Source: RNAcentral